AAUUAAGCAUAUCAAUAAGCGGAGGAAAAGAAACCAACAGGGAUUGCCCUAGUAACGGCGAGUGAAGCGGCAACAGCUCAAAUUUGAAAUCUGGCUCUUUCAGAGUCCGAGUUGUAAUUUGCAGAGGGCGCUUUGGCUUUGGCAGCGGUCCAAGUUCCUUGGAACAGGACGUCACAGAGGGUGAGAAUCCCGUACGUGGUCGCUAGCUAUUGCCGUGUAAAGCCCCUUCGACGAGUCGAGUUGUUUGGGAAUGCAGCUCUAAAUGGGAGGUAAAUUUCUUCUAAAGCUAAAUAUUGGCCAGAGACCGAUAGCGCACAAGUAGAGUGAUCGAAAGAUGAAAAGCACUUUGGAAAGAGAGUCAAACAGCACGUGAAAUUGUUGAAAGGGAAGCGCUUGCAGCCAGACUUGCUUGCAGUUGCUCAUCCGGGCUUUUGCCCGGUGCACUCUUCUGUAGGCAGGCCAGCAUCAGUUUGGGCGGUGGGAUAAAGGUCUCUGUCACGUACCUCUCUUCGGGGAGGCCUUAUAGGGGAGACGACAUACCACCAGCCUAGACUGAGGUCCGCGCAUCUGCUAGGAUGCUGGCGUAAUGGCUGUAAGCGGCCCGUCUUGAAACACGGACCAAGGAGUCUAACAUCUAUGCGAGUGUUUGGGUGUCAAGCCCGAGCGCGUAAUGAAAGUGAACGGAGGUGGGAACCCGCAAGGGUGCACCAUCGACCGAUCCUGAAGUUUACGGAAGGAUUUGAGUAAGAGCAUGGCUGUUGGGACCCGAAAGAUGGUGAACUAUGCUUGAAUAGGGUGAAGCCAGAGGAAACUCUGGUGGAGGCUCGCAGCGGUUCUGACGUGCAAAUCGAUCGUCAAAUUUGGGCAUAGGGGCGAAAGACUAAUCGAACUAUCUAGUAGCUGGUUCCUGCCGAAGUUUCCCCUCAG
RNAcentral lists this ribosomal RNA (927 nucleotides) under Bipolaris maydis (southern corn leaf blight pathogen). Its description in RNAcentral is "partial large subunit ribosomal RNA". It matches the Rfam family "Eukaryotic large subunit ribosomal RNA", at positions 32 to 976 of the family's 3401-position model. Lineage: Eukaryota; Fungi; Ascomycota; Dothideomycetes; Pleosporales; Pleosporaceae. The record is from RNAcentral.